Molecule: non-coding RNA, 66 nt
Filed under: Yonghaparkia sp. Root332
Lineage: Bacteria; Bacillati; Actinomycetota; Actinomycetes; Micrococcales; Microbacteriaceae
Also listed under: 1 other name
Source: RNAcentral
GUCGAGCGCGGCGAUCGCGCUCCCGGACGACGGAUCAGUACCCGGAACGCGACAGGACUGGCCGGG